GAAAUUAAUUUAAAAAUACACACAUUUGUAAUAUCAAAGUUUUUAUUUUGCAAAAGUGAACUAUGCAAUUAAAAAAAAAUGUUAAAUUACUGUAUAAAUAAAACUAAAUAUAACAUACUAAAUAAAUGAAAUUACUAUUUGGAUGUGGAAGGUGUACAAAACAUUGUAAUUGCUUGUUGUCUAAGCUGUUUAGUGUGGAUCUGGUUAACAAAAAGUGGGAACACGCUUCAAACUUAUCAGACAGAUUAUUUUUGUUAUCAUCUUUCAUGAACUCAAAUCAAAGUCUAUAUAUUUAGUUAACAAAAUCCCAUUAUGAUUUAAAUACUAAUGCUUUUUAUUAUAACAAUUUUUGAUAAAUACAAUGUCAUAAACACGACGAAACCAGAUUAUAUCAGUCGUUUUUAAAUACAUAUGUAUACAUUCAAGCACUAUGAUAAAAUAAAAAUUGUCUACAUAAAACGAAUUGAG
Molecule: non-coding RNA, 468 nt
Organism: Cinara cedri
Lineage: Eukaryota; Metazoa; Arthropoda; Insecta; Hemiptera; Aphididae
Source: the annotation of a GenBank genome assembly